This is a long non-coding RNA of Taeniopygia guttata (zebra finch), 1393 nucleotides long. The record is from Ensembl. Lineage: Eukaryota; Metazoa; Chordata; Aves; Passeriformes; Estrildidae.
GCGGCGGCGGCUCCGGAGCGGCGUCGCUGGCCGGAGAUGGAGCCCUCGCCCGAACGGGUCCGGGCUCUCGCUCAUCCCCGCUGGCAGCGGCUCUUCCCUCGCUGUCCCUCUCUCUCCCGUCGCUCGAGGUGUCGUCCUCAAGCAGCCUUUAUUUCAACUGGAGUUCCGCUGUGCGGGGUUUGUGUGAGCCAGGAUUUUCUCACGUGUUGAGAGUUUUAGUGGUGCCUGCCUGCUGGCCGCUCCUGGAUUCUCCCUCUAAGGGAAGGCACGCUGCCCACAGGGACUCUGGGCAGGCGGAGAUGUCCUUCAGCAAGAAACAUUUUGGUUGCUUAUUCAACGAUGAGCGCUCAUGCGAUAACCGCGCCACUCUCCCAGCCUUGCUCAGUUAACAUCAGUGACAUCCGGACAUUGGCAGUCGCUGAGGGAGUCCCCGUUUUCCCGGGAGACAGCCGGCCCCGAGCCCUGGCCGUGGGCUGAAGGGGUUCUGCCCUGCUCGCUCCUUCGCUGCUCAGCGCUGGGAGGAGCUGAGCUGAAAAACCUCCGAGAAAACUCAUGGGGCGCCCUUACAGGUGGAGGAUAAAACGUGGAGAGCAGUAUUUAUGGGCGGCAAUUAGCACUGACCCAGAGGAAAAGCGGGCGAGGUCAGGGUCGCGCCCAGGGCUGGGGACACAAGACAGCCCCUGGGAGCGGGGUUCCUCUGGGGCAGGACCCUGGAAAGGAUCUCGAGAAAGAGCCUGAAUUCCCAGGGAGCUGGCCGAGCCCACGAGGCUUGCAGAGAUGAUGAGGAACACCCGCGCUGGGCCUGAAUCCCCCUUCUCUGCGGAUCCAUGCGGGUCCUGUCCCGGGGGUGAGGGAAGCCCCGCGUUGUCCCUCCUGGAAAAGCCGUGAGGAGUCCGGGCACGCCGGGAGCCCGGCUGGCCGAUCCCAUUGCUUUUUUCCCAUUUGCAAAAUUCAUUCCCCAGACACCAUUAGAGCUGCCGCUCGGGAGCAGAUGGUUCCCCUCCGUCCCGAGCUUCAUCCCGGACAGAUUGCAUACAAUUUAUUAAUAACCCAACAGAUGCUCGGGCAUUUUCCAGCUCAGAUUAUAUUUCCUGAUUGCUCAAAUCCCGGCGGGGGGGGAGCUGCUCGUUUAUCUUCCACCGUUCCUCUUUGUGCCUUACCAGCACCGACCCCACAAGGAGGGAAAGGGUGACAUCCUUGUGUGUGUGUCCCCGUGCUAAUUCAGGGUGUAAGUGUCUGAUAACUCAACGAGGCCUGAUGCCAGCCUUGGUUCGGGCGUGCCAGCCCCGUGCCCGGGAGAACCGCGGUUCUGUGCUGCCGGACCCGCCCCGCAUCCCCCCGGUGCUGCACGGACGGGGCCCUCCGGUGCUGCUGGUGCCCGGCUCGCCGGUGU